GGCAAGAUGGCCGAGCGGUUAAGGCGGUAGACUCAAGAUAAUAUCUUACCUGCAAAGCAGGCAGCAUUCUACUGGGGCAACCCGCGUGAGUUCGAAUCUCGCUCUUGUCA
This is a non-coding RNA of Xylaria digitata, 110 nucleotides long. The record is from the annotation of a GenBank genome assembly. NCBI's taxonomy places the organism in Eukaryota, Fungi, Ascomycota, Sordariomycetes, Xylariales, Xylariaceae.